Molecule: transfer RNA, 65 nt
Filed under: Hydraena riparia
Lineage: Eukaryota; Metazoa; Arthropoda; Insecta; Coleoptera; Hydraenidae
Description: tRNA-Asn
Source: RNAcentral
UUAAUUGAAACCAAAAUAGAGGUAUAUUACUGUUAAUAAUAUUAUUAAGUUAACCUUCAAUUAAA